Bubalus bubalis (water buffalo) is the source of this 1909-nucleotide long non-coding RNA. RefSeq lists it as uncharacterized. NCBI's taxonomy places the organism in Eukaryota, Metazoa, Chordata, Mammalia, Artiodactyla, Bovidae. The record is from RefSeq and is a predicted model, not a curated record. The transcript has 3 exons.
UGUUUCCCCAUCUAUUUCCCAUGAAGUGAUGAGACCAGAUAUGGAAUUUUGCUUGCCUUUGGGCCAUAAUUUCUGGGAAUUUAUUUUGUGUAAAUAAUCAUACAUGUGCAAAGAUACAGCAAUAUUAUUUCUAAUGUGGAAGAUUUAGAACAGGGGUCCCCAACCUCUGAGAUCUAAUGCUUGAUGAUCUGAGAUGGAGCUGAUGUAAUAAUAAAAUAAAUAAAAUGCAUAAUAGAUGUGAUGCACUUGAAUCAUCUCAGAACCAUCCUUCCUGCUCCAGUGCAUGGAAAAAUUGUCUUCCACAAAACCAGUCCCUGAGGAUGAAAAGGUUAAGGACUGCUGAUUUAGAAGAAAGAAUUUUUAUUUUGUUGUUAUUUUAUUCUUGCCGAGCUAUAUUUCUAUGAUAAUUAGAAAAUAUUUAUUAAUUAUGGAAUAAGAAAUCAGCAAAAAAAUCUGAUAAGAAAAAUAGUUUGUCCCUGGUUAGGUAGCUUCUUUGGUGUCUAUCAAUUGAGGAUCCCUUCCAAGUACGUCAUGUAAACUACUCCAGGGUCACAGAAAUGCUCAGGUCCAAGGAUGGGUGGAAAACCUGUGUGCAAAUCAUCCUGAGACAAAACCUCUCCUGGCAUCAGAGCAAAGCACGCAAAAGGUCAGAGAAGUGGUCAUGUGUGGAGAAAUAUAGGCAAAAUUUGAAGUUUUUGAUUAAUUCAAAUAUAUAUGCAUAUAUGUUUGGAAAACAGUUUAUAAUUUUUAAUUUUUUUUUUAAAAACACAACUAAAUAACACAUUAAAUACAGGCAGCUCUUGGCAUUUCAUCCUCGCAAAACCUUGGAGCCCGCCUCCUUCAUCAAACGUCUGUUUCUCUCCAGUUCAGCUUCAUUACCACGGAGUUUCAUGCAAAUAGACAAGCAUUGCAGAACAUCAUCUUUUCUCAAACCAGAACUGAUCUGAAUCUGUAUUAAAACAGCAGGAAUAAAUGAAAACAUCUCUAUGAAGUCUUAACUCAGAACUGAAAUAUUAGAAGCGACAGUCUCGCAUCCAGUCUCACAUUUCACCAGGCAAGAAUAUGCAAGUGGGUUGCCAUUUCCUCCUCCAGGAGAUCUUCGUGCCCAGGGAUUGAACACGCGUCUCCCGUGUCUCCUGCAUUGAAGACAGACUUCCUGCAUGCGGUUGGACACACCGCUACCAGCAACUCCUGCGUCCCCUAUCUCACAAUUUUGCUACGAGAAGAAAAGAAGAAGAUAAAAAAGCCACUUGACUAAAAUUGCCCACCUCCUCGCCCCCAACCUGACGCCAGUUGGAAAGUCCCAGGGAAAGCCUCCCCUGGACUCAGGUGGGGUGAGGGGCCCCGGGUGGGGACGCGCCCUCUGUCAUCCAGUCCCCACAGGAAGCAGCAGGCUGCAGUGAGAGAGAAGCAGUCUCCCCUAAGAAGAGAGGGGGGGUCCCCAGAAAUGAGGAGGGGUCAGAGGCAGUCAGAGCGAUACAUGCUCACACCGAAGCAAAGGGGGUCAUUGUUCUUCUUGCUUCACUCCCUGGCAAGCGGGACCCUAGGCUAAGGGGGAAGCUUGUGGUCAAACCCACAUGUGGCCGACACGGGGAACACAGUCCAGAACAGGUUGAAAGGCGCCUCCGAGUUAAAGUGCUCAGCAAUAAAAGGUAAACCAAGUUAUUCUGGUGCCUGUAACCUAAACCAUUCCAGUUUAUAGUCUUAACGAAAGUACUACAGGACCAAGGAUCAAAACCAGACUGUAUUUUGUUAGGAAACGGCACUAUUUCAGAGUUUUGUUUUGUUUUGUUUCCCCACCAAGUUUUAUUCAUCUGCUGUUAAAUCAUGCGUAUGAUUUACUUGGGGCUAUGACUGAAAUUUUUUCAAUUAGAAAAAUGUGAAUUACAGAUACGUUAUUUACAACGCA